AGAAUCAACGCUGGCGGCGUGCCUAACACAUGCAAGUCGCACGAGAAAGGGGAGCAAUCCCUGAGUAAAGUGGCGCACGGGUGAGUAACACGUGAAUGAUCUACCUCCGAGUGGGGAAUAACUGAGAGAAAUCUUAGCUAAUACCGCAUAACACUUACGAGUCAAAGCAGCAAUGCGCUUGGAGAGGAGUUCGCGGCCGAUUAGUUAGUUGGCGGGGUAAUGGCCCACCAAGACUGUGAUC
RNAcentral lists this ribosomal RNA (241 nucleotides) under uncultured bacterium. RNAcentral's name for it is "partial small subunit ribosomal RNA". It matches the Rfam family "Bacterial small subunit ribosomal RNA", at positions 26 to 281 of the family's 1533-position model. The record is from RNAcentral.